UUUUAAAUGGUAUGUCUGACACAACUUUUAAGAUCGGUUACAAAAUCACUGAUCUUAAAAGUUGUAUCAGAUAUAACUUUUAAGA
RNAcentral lists this microRNA precursor (85 nucleotides) under Cajanus cajan (pigeon pea). RNAcentral's name for it is "miRNA gene-KK1_050074". Lineage: Eukaryota; Viridiplantae; Streptophyta; Magnoliopsida; Fabales; Fabaceae. The record is from RNAcentral.